RNAcentral lists this ribosomal RNA (863 nucleotides) under Amanita fritillaria. RNAcentral's name for it is "eukaryotic LSU rRNA". It matches the Rfam family "Eukaryotic large subunit ribosomal RNA", at positions 80 to 930 of the family's 3401-position model. Lineage: Eukaryota; Fungi; Basidiomycota; Agaricomycetes; Agaricales; Amanitaceae. The record is from RNAcentral.
UUAGUAACUGCGAGUGAAGAGGGAAAAGCUCAAAUUUAAAAUCUGGCAGCAUUUUGUUGUCCGAGUUGUAACCUAGAGAAGUGUAACCUGUGCUGGACCGUGUAUAAGUUUCCUGGAAUGGAGCAUCACAGAGGGUGAGAAUCCCGUCUUUGACAUGGACUACCAGUGCAUUGUGGUUGUGCUCUCAACGAGUCGAGUUGUUUGGGAAUGCAGCUCUAAAUGGGUGGUAAAUUCCAUCUAAAGCUAAAUAUUGGCGAGAGACCGAUAGCGAACAAGUACCGUGAGGGAAAGAUGAAAAGAACUUUGGAAAGAGAGUUAAACAGUAUGUGAAAUUGUUGAAAGGGAAACGUUUGAAGUCAGUCGCGUUAGCUGGGGAUCAGCCUGACAUUGUUGGGUGCACUUCCUGGUUGACGGGCCAACAUCAGUUUUGACUGCCAGAAAAAGGCCAAGGGAAUGUGGCACCUUUGGGUGUGUUAUAGCCUUUGGUCAUAUAUGGUGGUUGGGACUGAGGAAUGCAGUGUGCCGAAAGGCCGGGUUUCGACCACGUUCACACUGAGGAUGUUGGCAUAAUGGCUUUAAGCGACCCGUCUUGAAACACGGACCAAGGAGUCUAACAUGCAUGCGAGUGUUUGGGUGGAAAACCCUUACGCGUAAUGAAAGUGAAAGUUGAGAUCCCUGUCAUGGGGAGCAUCGACGCCCGGACCAGAACUUUUGGGACGGAUCUGCGGUAGAGCACGUAUGUUGGGACCCGAAAGAUGGUGAACUAUGCCUGAAUAGGGUGAAGCCAGAGGAAACUCUGGUGGAGGCUCGUAGCGAUUCUGACGUGCAAAUCGAUCGUCAAAUUUGGGUAUAGGGGCGAAAGA